AUCUAAUCAAUCUAUAACUAAUCGAAAGUAGAGAAACCCACCUGAUGGAAAGAGAGGGUCUCUGUGAAUUUCCAGUUUGAGGGUAGAAACCGAAGAGGCAAAGAUCGCUCCUACCCACAGGAAGACCACCACCAUGGAAGGAGCUCGAAGGGGCAGAGGAAAGGAAAGACAUGGCUGCCAUCUUCAGAUGAAGCCGAAAGGAAAGACAUGGCUGCCAUCUUCAGGGGCAGCGGAAAGGAAAGACAUGGCUCCACAUGGCUCGAUCCACAUAGAAAUCAAUCAGAGAGCUACAAAUCUAGCAUAAAAUCAAAGGAAAGAAAACGAAGAAGGAGAUGGACAGAAAUCAAUGAGAGAGUCAAGCCGCCACGUAGACAAGGAUUUGAUCCUUAAAUUUCUUAUUUACGGAUCAAUCCUUGUAUUAUGUUGCUCAAAUAAUAGUUUUUUAAUUUGAUAAACAUUGGAUGUGGAGCUAAGGAUCCUUAACGGACCCCCAUUGCAGAUGGUCUAAGUUAGUUUCAGAUUUCGUAACAACUGAGACCACCUCCAUCGGCAGUUAUAAAAGGAGGUUCUAAGCAAAAGACAAAAAAAAAUGAAAAAGAAAAUAAAAACACAGAAUCGAUGUUUAAUUUGAGAUUUUUAGAGUGUGUAAGAACCCCUUACGUGUUCCUUUGGUAAUGGAUAAUCCAUUUUCUCUCUCGUUCGAUCUCCUUCUUCGUUUGAUUCGUUUGAUUCCUCCUCCAACCUCAAUAACUCCAUCUUCUUUUUCACUUCUGAUCUCGAUUUCCUUUUUUGUUUGAUUCGUUUGAUUCCUUCUCUGCAGUUACGAUCGUUUCUCCUCUCGAACCAUCUUCUUCAACGCGUUUGACUCUUCUUCUCUGUAUCUGAGUUAGCAAUGAAGUCAGGAGGAUCAUGAUUGAACCCAAACGCAGCAGCUUACGCACCACUCUCCAAAAGAGAAGGUGAUUAUUCAAAGCAUGUUGCUGCUGAUGCAGCCACACAUGACGUUCAGCACCAACAACCCUAUGGUUAUAGAGUCCAAGGGAAUGGAAGUUCUCCAGACGCUCACAUGAGGGAUGAUGAUUCGGAGACUGAUAUGGAGAUGGAGUUCCUUUUGGCCAACUCCAUCUCCGUGAUGUUUGUCAGAUGAGUCUAUCUGUGAUGUUUACUUAGCCAACUUGAGGUAAACUUAUUUCACUAGUAUCCAUCUCACACUUAAAUUACACCUAGGGUAGAUUGUCC
This is a long non-coding RNA of Brassica napus (rape), 1239 nucleotides long. RefSeq lists it as uncharacterized. The record is from RefSeq and is a predicted model, not a curated record. NCBI's taxonomy places the organism in Eukaryota, Viridiplantae, Streptophyta, Magnoliopsida, Brassicales, Brassicaceae. The transcript has 2 exons.